This is a non-coding RNA of Phrynosoma platyrhinos (Desert horned lizard), 72 nucleotides long. The record is from the annotation of a GenBank genome assembly. NCBI's taxonomy places the organism in Eukaryota, Metazoa, Chordata, Lepidosauria, Squamata, Phrynosomatidae.
GCCAAUGUGGUGUAGUGGUUUAAGUGCUGGACUACAAUUCUAGAGAUCAGGUUUCAAUUCCCCGCUUGGUCA